AGAGUUUGAUCCUGGCUCAGGAUGAACGCUAGCUACAGGCUUAACACAUGCAAGUCGAGGGGAAACGACAUCGAAAGCUUGCUUUUGAUGGGCGUCGACCGGCGCACGGGUGAGUAACGCGUAUCCAACCUGCCCACCACUUGGGGAUAACCUUGCGAAAGUAAGACUAAUACCCAAUGAUAUCUCUAGAAGACAUCUGAAAGAGAUUGAAGAUUUAUCGGUGAUGGAUGGGGAUGCGUCUGAUUAGCUUGUUGGCGGGGUAACGGCCCACCAAGGCGACGAUCAGUAGGGGUUCUGAGAGGAAGGUCCCCCACAUUGGAACUGAGACACGGUCCAAACUUCUACGGCAGGCAGCA
Molecule: ribosomal RNA, 356 nt
Filed under: uncultured bacterium
Lineage: Bacteria
Description: bacterial SSU rRNA
Rfam family: Bacterial small subunit ribosomal RNA
Source: RNAcentral